UCGUGCGGAAACGAGUUAUCUGAACCUUCGGGGAACGAUAACGGCGUCGCGCGGCGGUCGGGUGAGUAAUGCCUAGGAAAUCGCCCUGAUGUGGGGGAUAACCAUUGGAAACGAUGGCUAAUACCGCAUAAUACCUACGGGUCAAAGAGGGGGACCUUCGGGCCUCUCGCUUCAGGAUAUGCCUAUGUGGGAUUAGCUAUUUGGUGAGGUAAUGGCUCACCAAGGCGACGAUCCCUAUCUGGUCUGAGAGGAUGAUCAGUCUCUCUGGAACUGAGACACGGUCCACACUCCUACGGGAGGCAGCAGUGGGGAAUAUUGCACCAUGGGCGCUAGCCUGAUGCAUCCAUGCCGCGUGUGUGAAGAAGGCCCUCGGGUUGUCAAGCAC
This 385-nucleotide ribosomal RNA is filed under the name Vibrio sp. RNAcentral describes it as "bacterial SSU rRNA". It matches the Rfam family "Bacterial small subunit ribosomal RNA", at positions 62 to 433 of the family's 1533-position model. The record is from RNAcentral. Lineage: Bacteria; Pseudomonadati; Pseudomonadota; Gammaproteobacteria; Vibrionales; Vibrionaceae.